Molecule: ribosomal RNA, 433 nt
Filed under: uncultured bacterium
Lineage: Bacteria
Description: partial 16S ribosomal RNA
Rfam family: Bacterial small subunit ribosomal RNA
Source: RNAcentral
AACGAACGCUGGCGGCAUGCCUAACACAUGCAAGUCGAACGAGACCUUCGGGUCUAGUGGCGCACGGGUGCGUAACGCGUGGGAACCUGCCCUUAGGUUCGGAAUAACUCCCCGAAAGGGGUGCUAAUACCGGAUAAUGUCUUCGGACCAAAGAUUUAUCGCCUUUGGAUGGGCCCGCGUUGGAUUAGUUAGUUGGUAGGGUAAAAGCCUACCAAGGCGACGAUCCAUAGCUGGUCUGAGAGGAUGAUCAGCCACACUGGGACUGAGACACGGCCCAGACUCCUACGGGAGGCAGCAGUGGGGAAUAUUGGACAAUGGGCGAAAGCCUGAUCCAGCAAUGCCGCGUGAGUGAUGAAGGCCUUAGGGUUGUAAAGCGCUUUUACCCGGGAUGAUAAUGACAGUACCGGGAGAAUAAGCUCCGGCUAACUCCGUG